Molecule: long non-coding RNA, 211 nt
Filed under: Musa acuminata (dwarf banana)
Lineage: Eukaryota; Viridiplantae; Streptophyta; Magnoliopsida; Zingiberales; Musaceae
Description: long non-coding RNA (MACU_LNC001507)
Source: RNAcentral
GUGGUCACAAUGAGCACUGCAUCCCGUUCCAGAUAGCAAUGGGAUCGAGUGCAUGGGCGCUGGCAAUAAUGGAGAAGAAGAAGAAUGUGGUGGUCUGCCAAGUAAGGUGUGCAGAAGGGACAGGCUCUGGUCACGGAUCGAACUGUGAACUGACUACCGGACAAGAGGGGGCGGAAAGCGAAGUCCUUCAACCUAUAAAAGAUUCUGCGAG